This 258-nucleotide ribosomal RNA is filed under the name uncultured bacterium. RNAcentral's name for it is "partial 16S ribosomal RNA". It matches the Rfam family "Bacterial small subunit ribosomal RNA", at positions 75 to 334 of the family's 1533-position model. The record is from RNAcentral.
CUUGCUUUCUUUGCUGGCGACCGGCGCACGGGUGAGUAACACGUAUCCAACCUGCCCUUUACUCGGGGAUAGCCUUUCGAAAGAAAGAUUAAUACCCGAUAGCAUAAUGAUUCCGCAUGGUUUCAUUAUUAAAGGAUUCCGGUAAAGGAUGGGGAUGCGUUCCAUUAGGUUGUUGGUAAGGUAACGGCCCACCAAGCCUUCGAUGGAUAGGGGUUCUGAGAGGAAGGUCCCCCACAUUGGAACUGAGACACGGUCCAA